Long non-coding RNA from Myotis daubentonii (Daubenton's bat), 1429 nucleotides. RefSeq lists it as uncharacterized. The transcript is spliced from 3 exons. The record is from RefSeq and is a predicted model, not a curated record. Lineage: Eukaryota; Metazoa; Chordata; Mammalia; Chiroptera; Vespertilionidae.
CGCGCUUUUAAGCUCCACGACCUUAUCUCUCAUACCUCAGCCGCCUGGCCUGAAGCGAAGCUGUCUUGCCCGAGAAGAGAGUGGUCACGGUGUCGCGUGGUAACAAAGCUCAGGACGAGGAGAACCUACAUGAGAAAGGACGUCCUCCGGUGUCUCCCAUCAGGAUAAAGCAGCAUCUGUCAUGCAAAUACCGCCCUGUGCAGAAGUGAGGGAAGACUGCUGCAGAAGUGAAUACAGGCAACAUCUUUGUUCCCAGGGCACAGGUCUUUGAGAGGAAAUCUCCAAGCCUCUUGAAGAGGCAUUAGAAGGCUAUCCAGGCAGCAAAAGUACCUCAGGAUCAUGGCUGAUAAAAACCAGGAGAUCGGUGACACCCAUUCCCCUUUUCUCUUCACACCCUAUUCCAUCCAGAUAGACUUCAUGACAGUGCUGUACCAGGUGUUGGAAGAUGGCAAGAUUGGGAUAUUUGAGAGUCCAACUGGCACUGUAAGUAUGAACAGUUGCCCCAAGAGGGCUCUUGGGAGACCCUGAUUACAACUAGUCAGAGGUUUAUUUGCCUCUGCAGAGAUUUUCAUGGUUUGGAGUUGGGCAAAGUAGUUUUCUCAGUUUACCUUUCUGAGUAAUGCUCACUUCCCUCUAUUAAAUUGUUAAACACAACCCUGGGUUCUAAGGAAAAUUAGGUUACAGGCUAAGGAGAAUUUGAAUGGCAGUGGUUCUCCUUCAGGGAGCAACAUAGAAAUUUAUUGCCCUGCCAGGUUGGGCUCAGUUGGUUGAGCAUUGUCCCAUGUACCAGGAAGUUACUGGUUUGAUUCCUGGUCAGGGCACAUGCCUGGUUUGUGGGUUGAACCCCAGUAGGGGCAUGCAGAAGAUAGCUGAUCAAUGUUUCUUUCUCAUCAAUGUUUCUCUCUCCCCCUCUCCAUUCCUCUCUCUGAAAUAAAUGAAAACAUUUUUUUAAAAAAAGUCAAAUUUAUCAAAUUUGGCGCCAUGGGCUGGUGCUUUUAAUUCUUUUGUCUGUUUCUUAAGAAAUGUACUUUUCUCAUACCACAUUUUGAAAUUAUAACCUAUGUGCUCUUGUUUCCUGAUUUGUGGAUUUUAGUGAUUGGUACCUUCCUCUUGUGAUGGAUAAGAUAUAGCUUUCUUACCAUCCCUUUUCUCUGCCACUCCUGAUGUAAUUAGCUGUUUUUAGUCUCUGCUAAGUCAUUAUACUAUGAUUGUUUUUUCAUGGAAUAAUGUUAUUGUUCUAGAGUUAAUAAUUGCCUUUUAAAAGCUUGUUUAGUUUUUAAUAUGCUUAUGCUAAUUCCACACACAUCAUCCAGUAGUCUCUCAAUAUGAUGCAGAUUUUCACAUUGUCCAAAACUACAGUUGGCCCUUGUCUGUGGGUCCUGCACCGAUGGGUUCAACCAACUCCAGAUCAAAAAUAUUGGGGGGAAAA